UACGGGGGGGGCAAGCGUUGUUCGGAAUUACUGGGCGUAAAGCGUGCGCAGGCGGUUUUGUAAGUCUGACGUGAAAUCCCCGGGCUUAACCUGGGAAUUGCGUUGGAGACUGCAAGGCUAGAAUCUGGCAGAGGGGGGUAGAAUUCCACGUGUAGCAGUGAAAUGCGUAGAGAUGUGGAGGAACACCGAUGGCGAAGGCAGCCCCCUGGGUCAAGAUUGACGCUCAUGCACGAAAGCGUGGGGAGCAAACAGG
This 253-nucleotide ribosomal RNA is filed under the name uncultured bacterium. RNAcentral's name for it is "partial 16S ribosomal RNA". It matches the Rfam family "Bacterial small subunit ribosomal RNA", at positions 524 to 776 of the family's 1533-position model. The record is from RNAcentral.